AUAAUAAGCCGCAACCAACGCAGAACCAACGCGCCUCUCCGUUCCCUAGAGAGCAACUCUCCUCGUCUACUCUAACCAACCUCUCCCUGACCACGCCUCCUCGGUGGUGUGGUCCGUCCCUAAAGUAAAGCAGAGGCCUCCCGACUCCGACUCACCCACGGGGCAGCGGCAGCCGGAUGUGAUGCGCGAGAGAAAAAUUACGGGGCGGCGGCGUGAGCGGAGCGGAUGCGUGGGAGGAGAAGAAGAAGAAGAGGGUGAUGAAGGAGAGGUCGGGCGAUCGACGACGCCGGAGAGAAGGCCUCCGAACCUCACUAGUGGUCUCUUUUGUCCAAUAACAGACGGUUCGAUGAUGUGUCGUUCUACAGCCAUCGGUUCUUCCUGCUCCAAACGCCAGUAGGCGAACCCGAAGCCAACCCACUCGGCCGACGACCACAAGGGUAAUUCUUUUCCGGUCAAAAGAAUAGGCUGUUUAGUCAAGGUAGACCUUACUGUGAGAGGUACUUCGGGGGUAGAUGAGGCUGCCCCUACAGACAGAGCCGAGACCCCCGCCCGAAAUCGUUACUCGGACAGAACUUAUCUAGAUUUAGCCUAUAAGGGUCAUCUAGAAAAUGAGGCAGCUGCUUGCUCUUCUUUCCGCACGAUGGAUUACCGAGUUCGCUCUAGGGGAGAGCACCUCUCUCACCAUCUGAUCCCUCGCAACGAGGGCAACGGUCUAGUGUCUCAGUGUUCAAAGACUGAAACCUAAAUGUCAAUCGCAAAGCAGUCUUAGAGUUUUAGUUGAGAUUAAGGGGACAGUUCUUUCUCUUUGAUCUAGUCCCAAAGAGAUAUAAAGGAAGUCGUUCUGGAGGGUUCCUACACGUUUGUUGUUCACCGUACCUUAGAAGAAGAUUGCGAUCGAACCCUUUUGAUAGAUUAAAUCUAGAAUUACAUAGUGACUUGGGUCAACUAGUUGAACUUCCAAACGGAUGUUACGUCCGACCGAAAUUGUAUGGGGUAGUAUGUUGUAAAGUCGUAGUCUUUCGUGUCCGAGGGGGUCACCGUGGGAAAAGAAGUCAUUCGUCAGCCGACUCAGAUUUAUAACUGUUAUGACACUUUGGCAGCUUACGUAUAGUUGAAAGUUUAUUCUCACCUAGUGGACUACAAUGGAAUCUAAACGUUGAAUUUGGUGGUUGGUCUGGACUCGAACCUUAUUCGACCUUUCCGGAACGAGGACUAGGUCUCGAUUCGGAGAGAGAUAGACCAUUAGUGUGUCUACUCGGAUUCCCAGACUUACAAGGACUACGAUAUAAAUGUGGACUUGGACAACUUUCUCGGUUAUUCUAGUCGGUCCGCCAAGGAUGUGGUCAGAGACUAUUUAGUGGGCGACUCUUCUAAAGCUUCGGACACCGCACAUUACAUUUAGGAGUGUGGUGAUACGGUGUUUGUCAAAGACCUUUACACCUCUAUUACGGGUCAUUAAACCACUUCUUUCUCGGACCUCUUGGAUGUGCCGUUGUAUAGGUCUUGUUACAUCUUUUCCGUGGAGACAAGCAGGUUGUUGCACAACCUGUCCGAUCGUCAUCACGACUUAAACUUUUUUGACCGUUGGAUUUGGUUCACACACCAUUUAGACCGAAACUAAACAUGAGACCUUUAAAAGGUUUACCAUCACCACGGGCGUUACCUAACCUCCAUCACUGACUAUCACAAGGACAUGUUUGACCGUUUAACACACCACGACGAACGUGACUCUUUAAAUAGUUCGCACUUCUUCACUGUUGACGGCAGGGUUCGGGACACUAACGUUGUCAUUCACCAGUCAGACUAAGUAAUUAACGAUUUAGUGACGUAAACCUUCCAUUACAACGGUCGGGACAACAACCUAAUACACUUAGUCGAUCAGUUGGGUGGUAAAGACGAAGCCCUGGACGUUCGACAUGAGGACAAUUUCGAUGAUGACUAACAUUUGGUCGUCAAUUAGUCCAAGUACGAGCGUUUUUACACCGGGCCUUCGGAACACUACAUAGGGCUUCAAGGAGGUUGGGUUGUCGACUUAGAAACCAAAAGUUAAGAGACGUGGCUCGACAUAAACUACCAUACAGGGUUCCUUCACGAAGUUACCUGAAAAGUCUCCUAACACUAUUACGACAAAGUGUCGACGGAUGAUGGUUAUUCGGAGUACAGCUCAGUAACCCAUUAUCAGUUUAAUGACUCCAAUUACUGAAUUAGUGACUCGGCGCCUUUCUUCUACUAUCAUUAUACGUAGUGCUGACAAACAGGCACUGUUUAUUCCAAGUGUAAGUCCCGUGACCACUACACUUCGCACAAUUAUGCGGUCUACAGUAACGGUGAGUAAGUCCACUCCUCCUCGCACUUUCACUCCAAAGACAAUUACCCUCUCGGUUUCUGUUUGUUAACAACUGUAGACUAUUCUUAAGGGGUGACUUAUUUUGACUGCAAUGGUCCCUUCUACAAUUCUAAAGGCGUCCACGGUCAAGUCGUUUAGAAUGUUCUGGUGGAUAAAACCCUUGAAGUCCAAGGGUAUUUUAUCUAAGAUGGUCCGUUAGAGGUUUCUGUAAACUAAUGUGACAGCUCUUCACAUCUUAGGGUCACUAUUUUAGACUUUCCUCAGUCAGAGGACUACCAUUCUUUCGACGAUUAACAUCGCUCUCGUUAUGUUUUUAACGACGACAUUUCUCACUCGUACCCUGUCUUUUCCUUCUCUAACGUUCUCCGAGAUUAAAUGUCGGUUUGCUAGGUCAAAACCCACUCCUAAGUGAACAACUACCUCGAAGCUGGUCAGUUGAUGGAUUACUUAGAUGUCUCUAACUUUUUCUACCUGUCCAAUUACCCAGUGUAACCGCUCUACACCGUUUACGAAUACAAUUAUCCUUACUUUCUACCCUCUCCAAGUACGUCAGACUCGCUCUCUUGUUGUCGCUCAAGGUACCACCGUCUCUGUACUUGUUAGUUGCCUCCUACCUGGGUGCAAUAGCACCAGCACCACCACCUAUAGUACCGGUAGGUUCCUUGAAGUCCCCAGGUUCUUACUCGCUACUCAGACUUUAACUGAAACUUCUACUUGGAUAACAACCGUCUUCCUCCGGUGUACUUUUACUCAUGCCCGUGAACGUGGCUUGAGUCGUAUCCGCCGACGCAAGUGGUGGCGUAGUCUACGGACCGACAGAGUACUCUCUUUACCUUGUACUGUCUAAAAGACCCUCUCUCUAAUACCUGGGAUCCGACAACCUAGUGCCCGUCUACCUACUACAGGCUCUACUGUACUACCUUGUCUCCAAAAAGUACGGGGUAGGAGUAAGUGUCGUGUGAGAUCCACUAGUACGUAAAUAGGUGUCCCUGUCCUCAGUAAGUGGACCAGUUUCUUCCCCGCGGGGGCACGUAAAGGUGGCCCCUGCCAGGGGACUUUGGUACGUGUCUAGUGGCGGUCAUUUGUCUUCACUGUCUGGUAUGAAUGGAGUAGUUGCGGUGUAUGCUGCGGCACCAAGAGGUAAGCUGGCUCAUCCUGUACUGCUAUCUCCAUACGUUUCCUUGUACUUCGCCACGCCGUACGUAGUUCCACACCUUCCACUCUGGAAACCCGGUGGAAAUGUAGGGCGAGUUGAUCGGCUCUAUGUACGUCUCCGACUCGAAUGUCUCUCUUCCUCCAAACCCCUCUCCUCUCGCAUAGCAGCUAGGAACCUUGCCUCGGGGUACCCGCCGCUGCUCCUCUACGACGGCAUGGUUCCGCUACCGCUGUAGCUGAAACGACUACCACUACCGCCAGGUGCCCUCGGACUGCCGGCGAAGUCCUUGUCUUACCUCGUGGCUCGUUCCCCGCUCGUCCUUCUGCCGAAGUCCAUGGCACCGGGAGUCCCCCCCACGGCACUGCCGUUGGGCUUACUGUCAUCUAGCUUCUUCUCCUCCAUGACUGGACGGUUACUUACUUAGACUUAGAAGAUGGCUGAUUAUGUAUCACCGUAAAACUAAGUCGGCAGCAGCGAAGACAAUCGGUUUAGUUGUUCACAAACGACUGGUAUGGCGGGGGGAGAAGGAUGUAACCAAACAAACAACGCAAGAAAGAGUCCUCCAUACGACGUCGCAUUAUUAUAGAUGUCACUAUGUGUACAAUGUGACUACUCUACUCGCAGUAGCCCACUGACGAACCAUAUUCGACUUCGAUCGUCGUACAGUUGUACCACCGGUUUGAGAAAACUGUAAAGAGCGGUUUAGAAGUUUGAUUUGCUCUCUACCGGACUUCGACGAACGUCUUCACAGAGAAAGAGGCAGAUGGAUGAACGACGUGCCAUAACCAUCCCGCUGGACAUAAUUUCGCUGAACAGAAGUGAUAUUAAACGGAUCAACAACCAGACCUUUUCGUCUACCCUAUGCCAUGCCAUGCGUAUGUUAUGGGUGGGCCAAACCUACACCAAAUUAAUCCUGAACAACGACAGAAACCUGGUCUGAAAAAUGGAUGACAAAUAAUUACCCACACUGGACGUGGUGGCGGCCCGUUAAACGUAGCUUAUUUUCAGGCGUGACACAAACCGUAACGGAAAAAGAAUACCUC
This 4546-nucleotide ribosomal RNA is filed under the name Triticum aestivum (bread wheat). RNAcentral describes it as "partial small subunit ribosomal RNA". The record is from RNAcentral. Lineage: Eukaryota; Viridiplantae; Streptophyta; Magnoliopsida; Poales; Poaceae.